CAGAUUAUAGUUUAUUUAAAACACUAGCUUUGGGAGUUAGCAAUCGGGCCACCGUAAUCUGA
Molecule: transfer RNA, 62 nt
Filed under: Perinereis camiguinoides
Lineage: Eukaryota; Metazoa; Annelida; Polychaeta; Phyllodocida; Nereididae
Description: tRNA-Pro
Source: RNAcentral